RNAcentral lists this long non-coding RNA (214 nucleotides) under Brassica napus (rape). RNAcentral's name for it is "long non-coding RNA (BNAP_LNC004446)". Lineage: Eukaryota; Viridiplantae; Streptophyta; Magnoliopsida; Brassicales; Brassicaceae. The record is from RNAcentral.
GAAAGGUGUAUCGAAUGACAAUCCAUUGAUAGCAUCGAUCGACACUUUCUCAAGACCAACAAACAACAGUUGACGUCUUAGAUCUAUACAAUAGAUAUUCUAAACAAUCGGAAGUUGAUAGAUUAUUUCUUAGUUUGAGUUCUAGAAUAUCCAAUAUACAACCUUAGUCUCUAUACUACUAUACUCCUGAUUGUAUGAAUAGAAACCCUAAGUC